CCCUUAGAUGUUCUGGGCCGCACGCGCGCUACACUGACGAUGGCAACGAGUUUUUCCUUCGCCGAAAGGUGUGGGUAAUCUUUUGAAACAUCGUCGUGCUGGGGAUAGAUCAUUGCAAUUUUUGAUCUUGAACGAGGAAUUCCUAGUAAGCGCGAGUCAUCAGCUCGCGUUGAUUACGUCCCUGCCCUUUGUACACACCGCCCGUCGCUACUACCGAUUGAAUGGUUUAGUGAGGACUCCUGAUUGGCGCCGCCGCCCCGGCAACGGAGCAGCGGACUGCCGAAAAGUUGUUCAAACUUGAUCAUUUAGAGGAAGUAAAAGGCGUAACA
RNAcentral lists this ribosomal RNA (329 nucleotides) under uncultured eukaryote. RNAcentral's name for it is "partial 18S ribosomal RNA". It matches the Rfam family "Eukaryotic small subunit ribosomal RNA", at positions 1470 to 1796 of the family's 1831-position model. The record is from RNAcentral.